AUACGGAGGAUCCGAGCGUUAUCCGGAUUUAUUGGGUUUAAAGGGUGCGCAGGCGGGAGAUUAAGUCGGCGGUGGAAUUUUGCAGCUCAACUGUAAAAGGGCCUUUGGAACUGGUUUCCUUGAGUGUAGAUGAAGUAGGCGGAAUUUGGGGUGUAGUGGUGAAAUGCAUAGAUAUCACGAGGAACUCCGAUUGCGCAGGCAGCUUACUAAACUACUACUGACGCUCAGGCACGAAGGCGUGGGGAUCAAACAGGAUUAGAUACCCUGGUAGUCCACGCAGUAAACGAUGAUUACUAGCUGUUUGCGAUACAAUGUAAGCGGCUGAGCGAAAGCGUUAAGUAAUCCACCUGGGGAGUACGUUCGCAAGAAUGAAACUCAAAGGAAUUGACGGGG
RNAcentral lists this ribosomal RNA (393 nucleotides) under uncultured bacterium. RNAcentral's name for it is "partial 16S ribosomal RNA". It matches the Rfam family "Bacterial small subunit ribosomal RNA", at positions 523 to 918 of the family's 1533-position model. The record is from RNAcentral.